RNAcentral lists this ribosomal RNA (253 nucleotides) under uncultured bacterium. RNAcentral's name for it is "partial 16S ribosomal RNA". It matches the Rfam family "Bacterial small subunit ribosomal RNA", at positions 524 to 776 of the family's 1533-position model. The record is from RNAcentral.
UACAGAGGGGGCAAGCGUUGUUCGGAAUUACUGGGCGUAAAGGGCGCGUAGGCGGCCUGCUAAGUCGAACGUGAAAUCCCUGGGCUCAACCCAGGAACUGCGUCCGAUACUGGUUGGCUUGAAUCCGGGAGAGGGAUGCAGAAUUCCAGGUGUAGCGGUGAAAUGCGUAGAUAUCUGGAGGAAUACCGGUGGCGAAGGCGGCAUCCUGGACCGACAUUGACGCUGAUGAGCGAAAGCCAGGGGAGCAAACGGG